Molecule: non-coding RNA, 82 nt
Organism: Auriculariales sp. MPI-PUGE-AT-0066
Lineage: Eukaryota; Fungi; Basidiomycota; Agaricomycetes; Auriculariales
Source: the annotation of a GenBank genome assembly
GGGCUUAUGGCGCAGUGGUAGCGCGAAUGCUUUGCACUACAUGUAUUGCAUUAGGUCCAGGGUUCAAUCCCCUGUGAGUCCA